RNAcentral lists this long non-coding RNA (1287 nucleotides) under Mus spicilegus (steppe mouse). Its description in RNAcentral is "lncRNA (ENSMSIG00000030910.1)". The record is from RNAcentral. Lineage: Eukaryota; Metazoa; Chordata; Mammalia; Rodentia; Muridae.
UCUCUAGCCCCCCUUUUUUUAAUCUCAGAGAGAAAGUGGGGAAAUGGGUCUACUUAUUUGGGUCCCCAAAGGAGCCUCCAGAAAUGUCACUAGAUUCUACCUAGCCAGGGACGGUUUCUUAAGGUAGGUACAUGCUGUCACUUAAAAUCAGCAUGUACUGGCUUCUCUGUGUGACAACCCAGGAAAGAAAGGUUGAAAGUCCAUUUUUUUUUUUUUUCUCACCCUGGCAAAUGAGGCCAAGCUGUGGAAGGGAGGGGCUGGGGGCAGGAAGGAUUUUUUUUUUUUUUUCAGGCUGCCUGUCAUUCUCGCACUUUCUGUGAGAGCCUAGCUUGGGCAGAAAUAAAAAUGCCACUCUGAAUUUAAAUAAUCUGUCCUUCUGGGAAAGUCUUCGCGGCGACAGGGCUGUUAACAUGGAAAGUAAAAAGUAAACAAUGUAUUUCAGCAAUCAGUGUUCUGAGUGGGCUGCGGGACUCAGACAGCCUGCGGACAACUCCUGGGAGGAAGGGCCCUCUUAUGAUCUGCCAGGCGAGAGGAACAUGGAUUGACAGAACUUCUGCAGGCGCAUGCGGUCGGGAAAAAUCUUAUGGGAGUAAGGAUUGCAAGGACCAAGCUUCAGUGAGGCGGUGCAUGAAGCAGAAGGAAUCGCUUUAUGUGUGGAAGUCUACGGGCAGAACAGAAUGGGACCAGAGAGGAUCGUUUGAAUUGGCCCAUCCAGAGCCGGAAUUGCGUUUCAGCGAUGGAGAAUAAUACUUAAAUUUCACGCCUGACCUUGGAGAUAAUGUCACAGCUGAAGUGAGACUUUGAAACCUGCUUGCUCAUAACCUUUUGUCAAUAAGUUGGAAAUGAAAGACUCUACUUCCCUGUGAUAUCCUCAACAGUCAAAAUCACCUGGCUUAUCAAUGGACCAGCAUGGCUUUCCCCAUAAGGUGAAGAAAAGCAGACACAAUGUUUGUUUGUUUGUUUGUUUUUUUUUUUUAAAUGGUUACAACCCAGGCAGCUCUUGCUGGGGUCAUUUCAGAAAGAGAGAAUUAAGGGAGAGAAAAGGGGAGGAUGUAGAGGCAGGAGGACCUGGGAACGACUUUUGAGGAGUUAAUUUCUGAACUUGGCACAAUAGGCUUCCCAUCCGCUUAUCUGGGAGGGAAGGUUGGGAUGAAGUGGAUCUUCACUAAAACUGUUGCUAGUCACCUCGUGACAAGAACCUGAGGUGGAAGAGCUCAGAGUUCCGAUGAGCAGGUCUCUUUUCAGCUCAGGUCACUUUCCCUCUCUGGGUGUUUACACUCCCCUCAC